This 253-nucleotide ribosomal RNA is filed under the name uncultured bacterium. RNAcentral's name for it is "partial 16S ribosomal RNA". It matches the Rfam family "Bacterial small subunit ribosomal RNA", at positions 524 to 776 of the family's 1533-position model. The record is from RNAcentral.
UACGUAGGGUGCAAGCGUUGUCCGGAAUUAUUGGGCGUAAAGAGCUCGUAGGCGGUUUGUCGCGUCUGCUGUGAAAACGCGAGGCUCAACCUCGCGCCUGCAGUGGGUACGGGCAGACUGGAGUGCGGUAGGGGAGAUUGGAAUUCCUGGUGUAGCGGUGGAAUGCGCAGAUAUCAGGAGGAACACCGAUGGCGAAGGCAGAUCUCUGGGCCGUUACUGACGCUGAGGAGCGAAAGCGUGGGGAGCGAACAGG